AGUGAACGCUGGCGGUAGGCCUAACACAUGCAAGUCGAACGGCAGCACAGUAAGAGCUUGCUCUUACGGGUGGCGAGUGGCGGACGGGUGAGGAAUACAUCGGACUCUACUUUUUCGUGGGGGAUAACGUAGGGAAACUUACGCUAAUACAGCAUACGACCUACGGGUGAAAGCAGGGGAUCUUCGGACCUUGCGCGAUUGAAUGAGCCGAUGUGGGAUUAGCUAGUUGGCGGGGUAAUGGCCCACCAAGGCGACGAUCCGUAGCUGGUCGGAGAGGAUGGUCAGCCACACUAGAGCUGAGACACGGUCCAUGCGCCUGCGGGAGGCAGCAGUGGGGAAUAUGAGGCAAUGGGCGCAAGCCUGGUCCAGCCGUACCGCGUGGGUGAAGAAGGCCUUCGGGUUGUAAAGCCCUUUUGUUGGGAAAGAAAAGCAGCAGGUUAAUACCCCGCUGUUCUGACGGUACCCAAAGAAUAAGCACCGGCUAACUUCGUG
Molecule: ribosomal RNA, 492 nt
Filed under: uncultured bacterium
Lineage: Bacteria
Description: partial 16S ribosomal RNA
Rfam family: Bacterial small subunit ribosomal RNA
Source: RNAcentral